RNAcentral lists this ribosomal RNA (468 nucleotides) under uncultured bacterium. Its description in RNAcentral is "partial 16S ribosomal RNA". It matches the Rfam family "Bacterial small subunit ribosomal RNA", at positions 28 to 507 of the family's 1533-position model. The record is from RNAcentral.
GGCGAACGCUGGCGGCGUGCUUAACACAUGCAAGUCGAACGGAAAGGCCCUGCUUUUGUGGGGUGCUCGAGUGGCGAACGGGUGAGUAGCACGUGAGUAACCUGCCCUUGACUUUGGGAUAACUUCAGGAAACUGGGGCUAAUACCGGAUAGGAGCUCCUGCUGCAUGGUGGGGGUUGGAAAGUUUCGGCGGUUGGGGAUGGACUCGCGGCUUAUCAGCUUGUUGGUGGGGUAGUGGCUUACCAAGGCUUUGACGGGUAGCCGGCCUGAGAGGGUGACCGGCCACAUUGGGACUGAGAUACGGCCCAGACUCCUACGGGAGGCAGCAGUGGGGAAUAUUGCACAAUGGGCGGAAGCCUGAUGCAGCAACGCCGCGUGCGGGAUGACGGCCUUCGGGUUGUAAACCGCCUUCGCCUGUGACGAAGCGUGAGUGACGGUAAUGGGUAAAGAAGCACCGGCUAACUACGUG